This 1110-nucleotide ribosomal RNA is filed under the name Triticum aestivum (bread wheat). RNAcentral's name for it is "partial small subunit ribosomal RNA". Lineage: Eukaryota; Viridiplantae; Streptophyta; Magnoliopsida; Poales; Poaceae. The record is from RNAcentral.
AUGGACUUCAUCGAGGGUUUGCCCAGAUCAGAAGGGUUCGACAUGAUCAUGGUGGUUGUCGACCGCUUCACCAAGUUUGCACACUUUGUGCCCUUGCGACACCCAUUCACGGCGACACAAGUGGCAAAAGUGUUCUGGGACAACAUCGUCAAGCUGCACGGCAUCCCCUCCUCCAUCGUCUUCGACCGCGACAAAGUGUUCACCAGUGUGCUCUGGCGUGAACUGCUAGCCAGAGCCGGCACCAAGCUCCUCUACUCCACUGCCUAUCACCCUCAGACGGACGGACAAAGCGAGCGCGUGAACCAGUGCAUGGAGAUGUACUUGCGUUGCGCUGUCCACGACACCCCCAGGCAAUGGUGUCGCUGGCUGCCCUCUGCAGAAUUCUGGUACAACUCAUCUUUCCACUCCUCUCUGGGUUGCUCUCCGUUCAAGGCUCUGUACGGUGUGGAUGCAAACGAGGGAAGCAUGACAACCUGGCCGACAACACAAGCACCAUUGCCGGACGGGGAACGGUGGGAUUGGGCACUGCACAAGGACAACCUGAAACUGCAGUUAACAAGAGCGCAACAAAAGUACAAGAAGUUUGCCGACAGAAAUCGCACCGAGCGCGUCUUUCAGGUCGGUGAGCAAGUCCUUCUGAAACUGCAACCACAUGUGCAGAAAUCAGUGGCCAGCAGGCCAUGCGCCAAACUCGCGUUCAAGUUCUUCGGGCCUUUUACCGUUAUCACCAAGAUCGGCCCUUCGGCAUACAAGCUAGAGUUGCCAGCAGACAGUCGUAUCCAUCCAGUGUUUCAUGUAUCCCAGUUGAAGCCCUUCACACCGAAUUAUACACCGGUGUUCUCUGAACUUCCAGCAACGACAGACUUAUCGAUAGUGGACUCUGCACCAGUGGAGAUCAUGGACAGAAGAAUGGUGAAAAGAGGAGACGCUCCAGUGAUCCAAGUUCAAGUGGCCUGGGACACAACUCCUCCGUCUACUACCUGGGAAGAUUACGAUGUUCUGCGACGGCGCUUUCCUCAGGGAACAAUCUGGAACGACAACCCAAACGAAGAAGGGGCUGAAUCUCAAGAAGGGGAGAAUGUCACGCCGGUGGACAGCACCACCGCGUGA